Molecule: long non-coding RNA, 221 nt
Filed under: Elaeis guineensis (African oil palm)
Lineage: Eukaryota; Viridiplantae; Streptophyta; Magnoliopsida; Arecales; Arecaceae
Description: long non-coding RNA (EGUI_LNC078301)
Source: RNAcentral
CUCAUUUCGACAAUCCUACCAGUCAAGAAUAAGCACCAUGCGAAUUAGAUUUUGAUGGGAACAGAAUAGAUGAGAGUUACGUGACCCUCAUUGGAUGGGGCAGAGUUCAGUUGCAAUGGAUCACACUAGGUGCGAAGGCAUAAGCCAAAAAGGUAAGAUUUGGCCAUGACAAAGAUAGCUAGGCCGAAGAAUUAGAACGUGGCUGUGACUAACCAUGAUGC